UACGUAUGGUGCAAGCGUUAUCCGGAUUUACUGGGUGUAAAGGGAGCGCAGGCGGCACGGCAAGCCUGAUGUGAAAGCCCGCGGCCCAACCGCGGGACUGCAUUGGGAACUACCGGGCUGGAGUGCCGGAGAGGUAGGCGGAAUUCUUAGUGUAGCGGUGAAAUGCGUAGAUAUUAGGAGGAACACCAGUGGCGAAGGCGGCCUACUGGACGGUGACUGACGCUGAGGCUCGAAAGCGUGGGGAGCAAACAGG
RNAcentral lists this ribosomal RNA (253 nucleotides) under uncultured bacterium. Its description in RNAcentral is "partial 16S ribosomal RNA". It matches the Rfam family "Bacterial small subunit ribosomal RNA", at positions 524 to 776 of the family's 1533-position model. The record is from RNAcentral.